RNAcentral lists this ribosomal RNA (600 nucleotides) under uncultured bacterium. Its description in RNAcentral is "bacterial SSU rRNA". The stretch from base 1 to 480 matches the Rfam family "Bacterial small subunit ribosomal RNA", at positions 99 to 546 of the family's 1533-position model. The record is from RNAcentral.
CGUACGGGUGAGUAACACGUCAGGUGAUCUACUAUUAGUUUGGAAUAACCUGCCGAAAGGCGGGCUAAUACUGAAUAGAGCAAUGGUCUUGUAAAGAGACAGUUGGGAAAGGCGGCAUGUAAGUGCUGUCGCUAGUAGAUGAGCCUGCGUCCCAUUAGCUAGUUGGUGAGGUAAGAGCUCACCAAGGCGAUGAUGGGUAGCUGGUCUGAGAGGAUGAUCAGCACACUGGAACUGAAACACGGUCCAGACUCCUACGGGAGGCAGCAGUGGGGAAUCUUGCGCAAUGGACGAAAGUCUGACGCAGCAACGCCGCGUGAGUGAAGAAGGCCUUCGGGUUGUAAAGCUCUGUCAGAGGGGGCGAAAACUAUGCGUGCUAAUACCACGAAUAAUUGACGGGUAACCCUGUGAGGGAAAGCACCGGCUAACUCCCGGUGCCUUAGCCAGCCGCGGUCAAUAACGGGAAGGGUGCAAGCCGUGCUCCGGCAAUCAUUCGGGGCCGCUAAACACGGGGCACGGGUCACGGUCGGCCCUCAANCCAGCCAUAGGUCGAAACCCUCGGGCUCAAACCCAAGAGAAACGUCGGCCUUGGCGAAAACACCG